Molecule: ribosomal RNA, 1179 nt
Filed under: Pestalotiopsis sp. CHTAM3
Lineage: Eukaryota; Fungi; Ascomycota; Sordariomycetes; Amphisphaeriales; Sporocadaceae
Description: eukaryotic LSU rRNA
Rfam family: Eukaryotic large subunit ribosomal RNA (bases 557-1179)
Source: RNAcentral
AACAAGGUCUCCGUUGGUGAACCAGCGGAGGGAUCAUUAUAGAGUUUUCUAAACUCCCAACCCAUGUGAACUUACCAUUGUUGCCUCGGCAGAAGCUACCUGGUUACCCUACCUUGGAACGGCCUACCCUGUAGCGCCUUACCCUGGAACGGCUUACCCUGUAACGGCUGCCGGUGGACUACCAAACUCUUGUUAUUUUAUUGUAAUCUGAGCGUCUUAUUUUAAUAAGUCAAAACUUUCAACAACGGAUCUCUUGGUUCUGGCAUCGAUGAAGAACGCAGCGAAAUGCGAUAAGUAAUGUGAAUUGCAGAAUUCAGUGAAUCAUCGAAUCUUUGAACGCACAUUGCGCCCAUUAGUAUUCUAGUGGGCAUGCCUGUUCGAGCGUCAUUUCAACCCUUAAGCCUAGCUUAGUGUUGGGAGCCUACUGCUUUUGCUAGCGGUAGCUCCUGAAAUACAACGGCGGAUCUGCGAUAUCCUCUGAGCGUAGUAAUUUUUAUCUCGCUUUUGACUGGAGUUGCAGCGUCUUUAGCCGCUAAACCCCCCAAUUUUUAAUGGUUGACCUCGGAUCAGGUAGGAAUACCCGCUGAACUUAAGCAUAUGGCGCUUUUCUUAGGUCCUGCUGCCUUAGUACGGCGAGUGAGCGGCAACAGCUCAAUUUGAAAUCUGGCCCUCGGGUCCGAAUUGUAAUUUGUAGAGGAUGAUUUUGGUGCGGUAUCUUCCGAGUUCCUUGGAACAGGACGCCUUAGAGGGUGAGAGCCCCGUACGGUUGAAUGCCUAGCCUCUGUAAAUCUCCUUCGACGAGUCGAGUAGUUUGGGAAUGCUGCUCUAAAUGGGAGGUAAAUUUCUUCUAAAGCUAAAUAUUGGCCAGAGACCGAUAGCGCACAAGUAGAGUGAUCGAAAGAUGAAAAGCACUUUGAAAAGAGGGUUAAAUAGCACGUGAAAUUGUUGAAAGGGAAGGAUUUGUGACCAGACUUUUUCUGGGCGGAUCAUCCGGGGUUCUCUCCGGUGCACUUUGCCCAGUAAAGGCCAGCAUCGAUUUUCGGCGGCGGAUAAAAGCAGUGGGAAUGUGGCUCCCUACGGGGAGUGUUAUAGCCCAUUGUAUAAUACGCUGCUGGGGAUCGAGGUACGCGCUUCUGCAAGGAUGCUGGCGUAAUGGUUAUCAAUCACCCGUCUUGACCA